UGUGAUAGAAUCUGAAGACUAAGCAGGAGGGCGGGUGGCUGCUGCCAACCUUUACACCCUGAUUGGAGAGUCCACGUCUGUGCCAGUUCUCUCACCAGCUCAGAGGGCAGUGGCUCAGGGAACCUCAGCACUUCAUCCAGCUGCUGUGAGACCAACACCAGCUCCUCUGACAUCAAGCCCUGAACCCUCCAACCUUCCCAGGCCACAUCAGGCCGCCCCUGGUCUCCGGAGCCGAACGCUACAGCACCAGCUGGUGGCUCCCCCAACAAAGCAGUACUUUCUCCCCCACCCAAAACCCAACUUUCCCAACUCUCCUUACCCAGAGGCAAGCCCCUGGAUUAGGAUACUGGUCAGCCACUUCAAGAAAAUGCCAACUAAUGCCAGUGUUCCAGUGACCAGUCUAUAGAUAGUAGUGUCAUUGAUUAGAGAAUGGAUCUGGUGCCCUGGUGUAAUUGUAGAGACACAGUGCAGUGUUUGUAUUAAGAAGCUACAUUCAUCCAUCUAUCCAUCCAUCCACAGGAUGAGCAAGUGGAGUAUGAGGUCUAGGAUUGGUGAAGGGUGAACUGUUCCUAGAUCUGAUCGUCAGCUAUGCAAGCAGACCUGGGGCAGGCUAAUAUCAAUGGCACUACGGCAGACAAAAUGCCAUGGACAAGAUGGAACCUGACAUAACCAAUAGAAUUUGAAUAACAUUCUAGAAUGAAUUAGAAUUCUAAUUCUUUGAAUCUGAUCAGGUGUCAGUGAUGACAUGGAUCGUGUUGACCCGGUCUUGUUGUACUGUAGGCCUGUGUCACUGUUACAAUUCUGUUGGUCCACAUCAUGGUACCUUUGAUUGUCUAGAAUUAGACAAGACUCUUUGUAUUUUUCAAAUAGAAAGUUAUUGUAAAUAAAAAGAUUAUGAAUGCAAGUAUACCUUGUUUAGCGUUUCAGAUUGUUGCUCUGAGUGUUGCCAGUCACCUCAAACAUGUGACCAUGGAAGUAAUCAGUAUGACCUAUGGUAGUAGGCCUAUGACUAUCUUAUUGCCUGUUGGACAGUGAGGAGACACUGUGCAUUUGAAAGCUGAGGGAUGUGAAUGACUAGUUAUGUACUUUGAUAAAGAUGUUAUUCUACAUAUUUCUAUCUCUGUAAUGUAAUCUCUCUCUACUCUUUCUCCCUUGCUUGGCCUUCUUCCCUCUUGUCUUCUUAAUUAGCUUACCCUGUCCUGCAACAGUUUUGUAUGACUCAGAGUACAGGAGGCUGCUGAGGGGAGGACUACUCAUAAAAAGGCCUGGAAUGUAGUGAAUGGAAUAGUAUCAAAUGCAUGGAAACCAUUUAUUCCGUUCCAGCCAUUACUAUGAGCCCUGUCCUCCCCAAUUAAGGUGCCUCCAACCUCCUGUGAUUCAGUCACAGUAUUCACUGUUGGUUGUCCUCGUCAAAUAACUUUGAGAUCCCUUUUUCAUCCACUCCACCGGCUGUCCAGUCACACAUGUAUUAAACAUGACUUCGGAUGUAUGCUAGUCAUUUUACGGGCAUUUCUCCAUGUGUACUGUGAACUUUCCUCCUUUUGUUAAUAACUCAGAAUCCAGUGUAUAGUCUUAAAUUAUUUAUUGCUUUACAAUCAUUUAUAAAGAUAGUUUAUUACCUCACUCUUUUCUUUCAGAAAGUCUCUGUCAGCAUUGUCUGUUUUUUUAUAUUAAAAAGGACUUUGUGUC
Salvelinus sp. IW2-2015 is the source of this 1689-nucleotide long non-coding RNA. RefSeq lists it as uncharacterized. The record is from RefSeq and is a predicted model, not a curated record. Lineage: Eukaryota; Metazoa; Chordata; Actinopteri; Salmoniformes; Salmonidae.